This 531-nucleotide ribosomal RNA is filed under the name uncultured bacterium. RNAcentral describes it as "bacterial SSU rRNA". It matches the Rfam family "Bacterial small subunit ribosomal RNA", at positions 355 to 896 of the family's 1533-position model. The record is from RNAcentral.
UGGGGAAUAUUGCACAAUGGGCGGAAGCCUGAUGCAGCGACGCCGCGUGAGGGAUGACGGCCUUCGGGUUGUAAACCUCUUUCAGCAGGGACGAAGCGCAAGUGACGGUACCUGCAGAAGAAGCGCCGGCCAACUACGUGCCAGCAGCCGCGGUAAGACGUAGGGCGCGAGCGUUGUCCGGAUUUAUUGGGCGUAAAGAGCUCGUAGGCGGCUUGUCGCGUCGRCUGUGAAAACCCGCGGCUCAACYGCGGGCCUGCAGUCGAUACGGGCAGGCUAGAGUUCGGUAGGGGAGACUGGAAUUCCUGGUGUAGCGGUGAAAUGCGCAGAUAUCAGGAGGAACACCGGUGGCGAAGGCGGGUCUCUGGGCCGAUACUGACGCUGAGGAGCGAAAGCGUGGGGAGCGAACAGGAUUAGAUACCCUGGUAGUCCACGCUGUAAACGUUGGGCGCUAGGUGUGGGGGGCCUCUCCGGUUCCCUGUGCCGCAGCUAACGCAUUAAGCGCCCCGCCUGGGGAGUACGGCCGCAAGGCUA